This 429-nucleotide ribosomal RNA is filed under the name Pseudomonadota bacterium. RNAcentral's name for it is "Proteobacteria bacterium partial 16S ribosomal RNA". It matches the Rfam family "Bacterial small subunit ribosomal RNA", at positions 355 to 776 of the family's 1533-position model. Lineage: Bacteria; Pseudomonadati; Pseudomonadota. The record is from RNAcentral.
UGGGGAAUAUUGGACAAUGGGCGAAAGCCUGAUCCAGCCAUGCCGCGUGUGUGAAGAUGGUCCUCGGAUCGUAAAGCACUUUAAGUUGGGAGGAAGGGCAGUAAGCGAAUACCUUGCUGUUUUGACGUUACCGACAGAAUAAGCACCGGCUAACCCUGUGCCAGCAGCCGCGGUAAUACAGAGGGUGCAAGCGUUAAUCGGAAUUACUGGGCGUAAAGCGCGCGUAGGUGGUUCGUAAAGUUGAAUGUGAAAGCCCCGGGCUCAACCUGGGAACUGCAUCAAAAACUGGCGAGCUAGAGUAGGGCAGAGGGUGGUGGAAUUUCCUGUGUAGCGGUGAAAUGCGUAGAUAUAGGAAGGAACACCAGAGGCGAAGGCGAGCACCUAGGAUCAUACUGACACUGAGAUACGAAAGAGUGAGGAGCAAACAGG